RNAcentral lists this ribosomal RNA (449 nucleotides) under uncultured bacterium. RNAcentral's name for it is "partial 16S ribosomal RNA". It matches the Rfam family "Bacterial small subunit ribosomal RNA", at positions 29 to 523 of the family's 1533-position model. The record is from RNAcentral.
AACGAACGCUGGCGGCAGGCCUAACACAUGCAAGUCGAACGCCCUAGCAAUAGGGAGUGGCAGACGGGUGAGUAACACGUGGGAACCUUCCCUAUAGUACGGAAUAGCCCAGGGAAACUUGGAGUAAUACCGUAUACGCCCGAAAGGGGAAAGAUUUAUCGCUAUAGGAUGGGCCCGCGUCGGAUUAGCUAGUUGGUGAGGUAAUGGCUCACCAAGGCAACGAUCCGUAGCUGGUUUGAGAGAAUGACCAGCCACACUGGGACUGAGACACGGCCCAGACUCCUACGGGAGGCAGCAGUGGGGAAUCUUGGACAAUGGGCGCAAGCCUGAUCCAGCCAUGCCGCGUGAGUGAGGAAGGCCUUAGGGUUGUAAAGCUCUUUUGUCGGGGACGAUAAUGACGGUACCCGAAGAAUAAGCUCCGGCUAACUUCGUGCCAGCCGCCGCAGUAA